This 253-nucleotide ribosomal RNA is filed under the name uncultured Zavarzinella sp. RNAcentral's name for it is "partial 16S ribosomal RNA". It matches the Rfam family "Bacterial small subunit ribosomal RNA", at positions 524 to 776 of the family's 1533-position model. Lineage: Bacteria; Pseudomonadati; Planctomycetota; Planctomycetia; Gemmatales; Gemmataceae. The record is from RNAcentral.
GACGAACCGUGCAAACGUUGUUCGGAAUCACUGGGCUUAAAGGGCGCGUAGGCGGACCAUCAAGUCAGGGGUGAAAUCCUCCAGCUUAACUGGAGAACUGCCUUUGAUACUGAUGGUCUCGAGUAAGGUAGGGGCGUGCGGAACUGAUGGUGGAGCGGUGAAAUGUGUUGAUAUCAUCAGGAACUCCGGUGGCGAAAGCGGCACGCUGGACCUUCACUGACGCUGAUGCGCGAAAGCCAGGGGAGCAAACGGG